AGUCUGUCUCCGGCGCCGCCCGUCGCGGACUCGUCCUUGCUGCAGUCGCCGCCGCAGUCGCCGCCGCCGCCGCCGCUGCUCCUCCGCCUGGCCUGGGCCGUCUGCCCGCAGCCAUGAGCGUGCUCGGCCCCGGUGGAGCCCGCAGUCCUCUAGAUUAGUCUCCACCGCCGUCCAGGACCCACUUGCAGCAUGGAGUCGCCCGCCUCGAGCCAGCCCGCCAGCAUGCCCCAGUCCAAAGGAAAAUCCAAGAGGAAGAAGGAUCUACGGAUAUCCUGCAUGUCCAAGCCACCCGCACCCAACCCCACACCCCCCCGGAACCUGGACUCCCGGACCUUCAUCACCAUUGGAGACAGAGUAUCUCCACUGGGCGUGGGGUGAGGACUGGCUUCCACCUUGCUGGCCACUGACUCUCUUUUCCAUCCUUCAAGAACUUUGAGGUGGAGGCUGAUGACUUGGUGACCAUCUCAGAACUGGGCCGCGGAGCCUAUGGGGUGGUAGAGAAGGUGCGGCACGCCCAGAGUGGCACCAUCAUGGCUGUGAAGCGGAUCCGGGCCACUGUGAACUCACAGGAGCAGAAGCGGCUGCU
RNAcentral lists this small RNA (586 nucleotides) under Pan troglodytes (chimpanzee). RNAcentral describes it as "retained intron". The record is from RNAcentral. Lineage: Eukaryota; Metazoa; Chordata; Mammalia; Primates; Hominidae.